This 687-nucleotide ribosomal RNA is filed under the name uncultured Pseudomonadota bacterium. RNAcentral describes it as "bacterial SSU rRNA". It matches the Rfam family "Bacterial small subunit ribosomal RNA", at positions 48 to 724 of the family's 1533-position model. The record is from RNAcentral. Lineage: Bacteria; Pseudomonadati; Pseudomonadota.
CUAACACAUGCAAGUCGAACGGCAGCACAGGAGAGCUUGCCCUCUGGGUGGCGAGUGGCGGACGGGUGAGGAAUACAUCGGAAUCUACCUUUUCGUGGGGGAUAACGUAGGGAAACUUACGCUAAUACCGCAUACGACCUACGGGUGAAAGUGGGGGACCGCAAGGCCUCACGCGAUUAGAUGAGCCGAUGUCCGAUUAGCUAGUUGGCGGGGUAAUGGCCCACCAAGGCGACGAUCGGUAGCUGGUCUGAGAGGAUGAUCAGCCACACUGGAACUGAGACACGGUCCAGACUCCUACGGGAGGCAGCAGUGGGGAAUAUUGGACAAUGGGCGCAAGCCUGAUCCAGCCAUACCGCGUGGGUGAAGAAGGCCUUCGGGUUGUAAAGCCCUUUUGUUGGGAAAGAAAUCCUAUCGGUUAAUAACCGGUGGGGAUGACGGUACCCAAAGAAUAAGCACCGGCUAACUUCGUGCCAGCAGCCGCGGUAAUACGAAGGGUGCAAGCGUUACUCGGAAUUACUGGGCGUAAAGCGUGCGUAGGUGGUGGUUUAAGUCUGCUGUGAAAGCCCUGGGCUCAACCUGGGAAUUGCAGUGGAUACUGGAUCACUAGAGUGUGGUAGAGGGAUGCGGAAUUUCUGGUGUAGCAGUGAAAUGCGUAGAGAUCAGAAGGAACAUCCGUGGCGAAGGCGG